This 228-nucleotide small nuclear RNA is filed under the name Neotoma lepida (desert woodrat). RNAcentral's name for it is "7SK RNA". It matches the Rfam family "7SK RNA", at positions 49 to 197 of the family's 331-position model. Rfam says of the family: 7SK was discovered as an abundant small nuclear RNA in the mid-70s but a possible function has only recently been suggested. Two independent studies have found that 7SK RNA binds the CDK9/cyclin T complex (known as elongation factor P-TEFb). P-TEFb activates transcription by phosphorylating the C-terminal domain of RNA polymerase II. Lineage: Eukaryota; Metazoa; Chordata; Mammalia; Rodentia; Cricetidae. The record is from Rfam by way of RNAcentral.
AAAAGUGAUGAGUGAUUGGCUAAAAUUUCUAUGUAGUCUAUGAGAAAAUCCCUUUAAAAAUAAAGCUAUCAAGUACAAGAACCAGCUGAUUCAGUGAUCUGACUGGCUUGGGUGGGUGUCUCCUUCNUCACUACCUCAAGUGUGUCCCUCUCAAAGCUGUGCUGCUGGGAAGAGGAGGAUGACUUUUCCCUGAGAAGGGAGGACCAUUCUUCAGUCAAGGGAAUGCAG